Molecule: ribosomal RNA, 274 nt
Filed under: uncultured bacterium
Lineage: Bacteria
Description: partial 16S ribosomal RNA
Rfam family: Bacterial small subunit ribosomal RNA
Source: RNAcentral
AUACGGAGGGUGCAAGCGUUACUCGGUAUCACUGGGCGUAAAGCGCGCGCAGGCGGGCUGAUAAGUUGGAUGUGAAAGCCUACGGCUCAACCGUAGAACUGCAUCCAAAACUGUCAGUCUAGAGUGUGGGAGAGGAAGAUGGAAUUAGUUGUGUAGGGGUAAAAUCCGUAGAGAUAACUAGGAAUACCAAAAGCGAAGGCAAUCUUCUGGAACACUACUGACGCUGAGGCGCGAAGGCGUGGGGAGCAAACAGGAUUAGAUACCCUAGUAGUCC